Non-coding RNA from Coturnix japonica (Japanese quail), 1315 nucleotides. The record is from RefSeq and is a predicted model, not a curated record. Lineage: Eukaryota; Metazoa; Chordata; Aves; Galliformes; Phasianidae.
CGGCGGCGGCGCCCAGAGUCUCGCGGGGCCCUGGCCAAGAUGGCGGAGCUGGGCCCGGCCUAGCGCGGCUCCGAGCGCUCCGCCGUACCGCCCCCGCGCCCCGCGCCUGUCACUCACACCGCCCGCCCCCAGCCCUGCGCGCCGGCGGUUUCACGGCCGUUGGGCUCGAGCGGUCUCCAUUGUGACCGGCGGGCGGACCGCCAGGCACCCGGAUGAUGACGUCAAGCGGCCUCUCGCUCCCAGUUCCCCUUCCCCGCUGCUGCUGCCGCCGCUCGGUUGGGGCGGCGCCUCCCUCGGAGCCGGUGGAGCGGCCGAGGGACGGCGGCACUAAGCGGGGGGAGCGAGGUGUGUGUAGGCCUCGGUAGGCCGCAGGGCUGGAACAUGGAGACGGGCUGCGAGAGCUGCGAGAGGGCCGAGCUGUGCGCGCGUGGCUCCGGCCGUUAGAAGCACGGUGCUUUAUGUAGCCUUUAGGGACACAAAACCUUUAAACUGCCUUGUGACAGGUCGGAAGUUAAGCAUUGCUGUUACUCAGGGUACCUGGAGCCGUGCUUGGGUUUAUCUGACAUUUUUUAUCAUCCGUUUCGAAAGGUCAAAGUCUCGUUUUAACAACGUCAUUCAAGAAUUUCAGAGCAGGAAGUGGAGAAUCCAGUCUCCAGCUGAAAACGUAGGAGGAAUUUAGGUCGCCGGGUUGGAAUUUGCUCAGAGGCUGGGUAACAGCCUUCGCUCUGUGUGCAAAGACCAAAAUAUGGCUGGUCACGGUCAUAGAAUCGUAUCAUAGAAUCAUAGAAUGGCCUGGGUUGAAAAGGACCGCAAUGAUCAUCCAGCUUCAACCCCCGCUAUGUGCAGGGUCGUCAACCACCAGACCGGGCUGCCCAGAGCCACAUCCAGCCUGGCCUUGAAUGCCUCCAGGGAUGGGGAGGGAGUAUGUUCUGUAAAAAGCCAGAGCUCAAAGUUAGCAUUGAUACGUCCUGUUAUUUCCUCUUUGAACAAAGUUAGGGUUAGCUGGGUUUUGCUAAUCGCUGAGAUUGGUUGCGAAGGAAACCUGAAAUACGUCUUUGCAUUAACCCCUCAGAUAAAAGGAUGCAGCUCCUUCACUGCUGUCCAAAAGCAAGUUUGCACGCUGAGAGAGGGGUUGUGUGUGCAUUUUACUCACCAACAAUAAAGAAAAGCUCCAACUGGUGAAAAUCUGUGUCAGUUGCUGUCCCUAGAGCUCCUGAGUGGUGACUGACAGAGGAUGGCUGCACCCCCAGCAAUUUCAGUUGUGUGUUGUUUGACAAUUCUCAGUCCUUAAAAAAUAAAUUGCUGUGGUUACAGA